GUACUACUUGUUAUAUACUGAAAUUACUNUAGUAGGUGAAAAUACCUACAUAAUGAAUAAAAGACGAGAAGACCCUAGAAAUUUUUUAUAAGAUAUAUGUAUAUACUAUUAUUUUGUUGGGGCGACAAGAUAACAAGUAACUUAUUUUAUUAUAUAUUAGAAUUUUAUAUAAUGUAAAACAAAAUUACUCUAGGGAUAACAGCAUAAUUAUUUAAUAGUUUGUGACCUCGAUGUUGGACUAAGGAAUGUUUUGUCCAGAAGAUAAAGUAGCAUGCUCUGUUCGAGCAAUUAAUCCUUACAUGAUCUGAGUUCG
Molecule: ribosomal RNA, 313 nt
Filed under: Humboldtiana sp. OM-2006
Lineage: Eukaryota; Metazoa; Mollusca; Gastropoda; Stylommatophora; Humboldtianidae
Description: partial 16S ribosomal RNA
Source: RNAcentral